ACCUUACAGAAAACCGCAGCCAAAUAACACUAGCUAGACCCUAAGUACUCAUAGUGUUGUGUUCCUGUCGGUGAGUAAGGUUGCCAGAGCUCAACUAGGCGCGGAGUGCUAGGGUCUGCAACGCGCACGUAACACCUCUGGAGUUGCAGGCGUCCAUAGGCUACGGAGACUGCUCGCCAUCAGGUAGGCCGUAUGCUUGUUUGCCACCGACGUAGUAUAAAAAAAAAUAAA
Molecule: long non-coding RNA, 231 nt
Organism: Cydia splendana
Lineage: Eukaryota; Metazoa; Arthropoda; Insecta; Lepidoptera; Tortricidae
Exons: 2
Source: RefSeq, a predicted model, not a curated record